RNAcentral lists this ribosomal RNA (1023 nucleotides) under Hypocreales sp. LM9. RNAcentral describes it as "eukaryotic LSU rRNA". The stretch from base 1 to 355 matches the Rfam family "Eukaryotic small subunit ribosomal RNA", at positions 1477 to 1831 of the family's 1831-position model. The record is from RNAcentral. Lineage: Eukaryota; Fungi; Ascomycota; Sordariomycetes; Hypocreales.
AGAGUUCGGGCCGCACGCGCGCUACACUGACGGAGCCAGCGAGUACUUCCUUGUCCGAAAGGUCCGGGUAAUCUUGUUAAACUCCGUCGUGCUGGGGAUAGAGCAUUGCAAUUAUUGCUCUUCAACGAGGAAUCCCUAGUAAGCGCAAGUCAUCAGCUUGCGUUGAUUACGUCCCUGCCCUUUGUACACACCGCCCGUCGCUACUACCGAUUGAAUGGCUCAGUGAGGCGUCCGGACUGGCCCAGAGAGGUGGGCAACUACCACUCAGGGCCGGAAAGCUCUCCAAACUCGGUCAUUUAGAGGAAGUAAAAGUCGUAACAAGGUCUCCGUUGGUGAACCAGCGGAGGGAUCAUUACCGAGUUUACAACUCCCAAACCCCUGUGAACAUACCUAUACGUUGCCUCGGCGGAUCAGCCCGCGCCCCGUAAAACGGGACGGCCCGCCCGAGGACCCCUAAACUCUGUUUUUAGUGGAACUUCUGAGUAAAACAAACAAAUAAAUCAAAACUUUCAACAACGGAUCUCUUGGUUCUGGCAUCGAUGAAGAACGCAGCAAAAUGCGAUAAGUAAUGUGAAUUGCAGAAUUCAGUGAAUCAUCGAAUCUUUGAACGCACAUUGCGCCCGCCAGUAUUCUGGCGGGCAUGCCUGUUCGAGCGUCAUUUCAACCCUCAAGCUCAGCUUGGUGUUGGGACUCGCGGUGUAAACCCGCGUUCCCCAAAUCGAUUGGCGGUCACGUCGAGCUUCCAUAGCGUAGUAAUCAUACACCUCGUUACUGGUAAUCGUCGCGGCCACCCGUAAAACCCCAACUUCUGAAUGGUGACCUCGGAUCAGGUAGGGAAUACCCGCCUGAACUUUAGCAUAUCAAUAACCGGGAGGGAAAAGAAAACCAACAGGGGAUUGCCCUAAUUAACGGCCAAGGGAAACCGGCCACCGCCCCAAAUUUUGAAAUCUUGGGUUCUUCGGGGCCCCAAGUUGUUAAUUUUGUAAAGGGAAGCCUUUUUAAUGCGGGGGCCCUUCCCAAGUU